GAACGACCACCAAGAGAAGGGUGCCAGGUUCCGCCGCGUGGAUAAAGACUGGUCCUCGGCCGCCACCUGUUCGAGCGUAGGUACAACACGAGAUCGAAGUGCGAUGAGAAGAGGUGGAAAGUACCAAGGUGAUAACCGUAGGCGAAGCGAACCCGGGAAUGAAGCGGAUCGACGGUGAUGGAAGAUGGUACGGGCAAAUGGGCUGGUGCACUUUGUAGAAGUAAUACUUGACCUUCCAUAAGAAACCUGCAGUACGACGGUCCGACAAGAGGACUGGCUUCAUAAAAGGUUCUUCUAUAUUCCUCCUUGUAAGUUGACUUGACUUCACUCCUCAGUGUUGAUUAUAGGACCAAAGUCCACUGCUGGGAAGUCGGUAGGUGAGCUUAGUAAAACAAAAAAACACAGAUAAUUUGAGUUUAUUAUAAAAAUCUUGUAUAGGAAAUGACCAAUAUGGCAUAGUCUAUAUACCUCUCUUUCAAGUAUACGCGUAGUCGAUAAGUCUAACAAACGUUGUACUGAAACGGGCAGUAAAAUAAACCAACUCUAAUGGUACCCGUGUAGAACGAAACAAGUGAUUAUGUUUAAAAAUAGAAAACGCACUACCCCAUGAUAGGAAUUUUACACAUGAUCCCUAUAAAAGGAAACCAAGCUUCCUUCGAGGUAAAACAUGUUUAAAACCAACAUGGUGUGUUAAAUGUAUAACACUCAUAAAACAAUCCUUGUGGAAACUUAACUUGUAAAUACUAUAUAUCGAUUCACAAACAUUGCUAUCCACUUGACAAAAGACCAUAGAAAGUCAUAAAUAGAUACAAGUUAACCGAACGUGUAAUGGUUGACGG
This 839-nucleotide ribosomal RNA is filed under the name Triticum aestivum (bread wheat). Its description in RNAcentral is "partial small subunit ribosomal RNA". Lineage: Eukaryota; Viridiplantae; Streptophyta; Magnoliopsida; Poales; Poaceae. The record is from RNAcentral.